CUACGGGGCGCUGCAGUGAGGAAUAUUGCACGAUGGGGGGAACUCUGAUGCAGCAACGCCGCGUGGAGGAUGACACUUUUCGGAGCGUAAACUCCUUUUAUAUAGGAAGAAGAUGACGGUACUAUAUGAAUAAGCGCCGGCUAACUCCGUGCCAGCAGCCGCGGUAAUACGGAGGGCGCAAGCGUUACUCGGAAUCACUGGGCGUAAAGAGCGUGUAGGCGGAUUAAAAAGUCAGAAGUGAAAUCCUAUAGCUUAACUAUAGAACUGCUUCUGAAACUCUUAAUCUAGAAUAUGGGAGAGGUAGAUGGAAUUUCUGGUGUAGGGGUAAAAUCCGUAGAGAUCAGAAGGAAUACCGAUUGCGAAGGCGAUCUACUAGAACAUUAUUGACGCUGAGACGCGAAAGCGUGGGGAGCAAACAGGAUUAGAUACCCCCGUAGUC
RNAcentral lists this ribosomal RNA (439 nucleotides) under uncultured bacterium. RNAcentral describes it as "partial 16S ribosomal RNA". It matches the Rfam family "Bacterial small subunit ribosomal RNA", at positions 339 to 795 of the family's 1533-position model. The record is from RNAcentral.